CAGCUCAGUGACAACUCCAAAGGACUCUCAGGGAAGACCCUCAAGGUCGAAGGACCCCUGAACCUUUCAGUCCACUGGAGCCACCGGGGGGUCCCCAACCUCUGAGAUCUAAUGCCUGAUGAUCUGAUGUGGAGCUGACAUAAUAAUAACAGGAAUAGAGUGCACAAUAAAAGUAAUGCGUGGGAAUCAUCCCAAAACCAUUGCCCUCCCGGAUUUGUGGAAAAACUGUCUUCCAUGAAACCAGUCUCUGGUGCCAAGAUGUUUGGGAACCUCUGCUCCACACAUGGGCUAGCCUGCAACUCAGCAAUGCUGCCUCCACGAAUUCAUCUGAGGCAAAGACUCACCCCAAAGUCUGUGGUGCUGCCUCUCACCCCAGAGGGCACAAGAACUUCUAUCUGACAAGAGCUAUUUCUGCAACAGAUGAAAAUAAAAGGGC
Odocoileus virginianus texanus is the source of this 436-nucleotide long non-coding RNA. RefSeq lists it as uncharacterized. The record is from RefSeq and is a predicted model, not a curated record. Lineage: Eukaryota; Metazoa; Chordata; Mammalia; Artiodactyla; Cervidae.